UAAUCGGGGGAGAGAUCCCAGUGAUGCGUCCCAGUGACCACGCCCACCGAGAGCCAUGUGAUUAAUGAAGGCGGCCAAAAGCGGGUUUCUUGGUUUUUGGGAUGGAGUAUAAAGGGAAACGGUCUCCAUGACGAAUCAUCACCUGGACCGACAGCAGCCUGUAGUCUGCCGGACUGUGACCUACGACACACACAUCACACCACGUCUGAGAGUCUUCAGGUGUGUGAGGAGGUGGACCCCCUAAACCUGCAUUAAAUGACUGACAGACAACGC
Non-coding RNA from Pimephales promelas (fathead minnow), 273 nucleotides. The record is from RefSeq and is a predicted model, not a curated record. Lineage: Eukaryota; Metazoa; Chordata; Actinopteri; Cypriniformes; Leuciscidae.